Long non-coding RNA from Gadus morhua (Atlantic cod), 863 nucleotides. RefSeq lists it as uncharacterized. The record is from RefSeq and is a predicted model, not a curated record. The transcript is spliced from 2 exons. NCBI's taxonomy places the organism in Eukaryota, Metazoa, Chordata, Actinopteri, Gadiformes, Gadidae.
GUGAAAUGCACCAGAUGCAACCAAUGAACCAAUUAAGAAAACCACAUGGCGUGCGAGCUGCGCAGAUACGGUGGACAUUGCAGACGGUCACUGACCUCAGGGGGCGUGGCUCCCUGACCUCAGGGGGUGUGUCUCCCUGACCUCUGGGGGCGUGGCUCCCUGACCUCAGGGGGUGUGUCUCCCUGACCUAAGGGGGAGUAUCUCCCUGACCUCUGGGGGGGGUCUCCCUGACCUCAGGGGGUGUGGCUCCCUGACCUCAGGGGGUGUGUCUCCCUGACCUCAGGGGGUGUGUCUCCCUGACCUCAGGAGGCGUGGCUCCCUGACCUCAGGGGGCGUGUCUCCCUGACCUCAGGGGGCGUGGCUCCCUGACCUCAGGGGGCGUGGCUCCCUGACCUCAGGGGGCGUGGCUCCCUGACCUCAGGGGGUGUGUCUCCCUGAUAACCCAGAUAACCCUUUUAACAUAUUGUUCAGCUGUCCUUUUAUUUCAUUUGUACAUCUCUUACGUCUUUCAGAUAUAAUGGUUACUUUUUUUUGUGUUGUUUUUCUAUUUGUGUUGUUUUCCCCUUUAGGUUAAAAAGGGAAGAGGGAGGAAAGGAGGACCAAUGGGAGGCGGCAGGCGGAGUCUGAGGAGGGAGCAGAGCUGAGUCCAUGUUUCAGAUUGAUGUUGUUGGUUAACUUCUGUUAUAGCGCCCCCAGGAGGAGCCAAGGGGAACAGGUCUGCACCGGAGCCGGUGGGGGCCAGAGGGGCCGGGGCCCUAGAGGGCCCCCCCACAGCGGACCGGUCAAUACAAGUUACACAUCUAGUGAAUCAAUCAAUCAAUCAAUGCAAGUGAUACCACGAUCAAUAAAUAAAUAAAAUAAAA